AGGCCGGGCCGGCAUUGCAGUCGUCGCGGCCACGGUGGGCUGCGCGGCCGCGGGCGGCAACGCCGGGCGCUCGAGCUGCGACUCAAAGUCGAAGGUGAGGUCGUCAUCCUCCAUGCUGGAAAGGAUCGGUAUUGACUGCGUCCGAAA
This 147-nucleotide non-coding RNA is filed under the name Picochlorum sp. RCC944. The record is from RNAcentral. Lineage: Eukaryota; Viridiplantae; Chlorophyta; Trebouxiophyceae.